ACUCCUACGGGAGGCAGCAGUGAGGAAUAUUGGACAAUGGGCGAGGGCCUGAUCCAGCCAUGCCGCGUGCAGGAAGAAUGCCCUAUGGGUAGUAAACUGCUUUUAUAACGGGAAGAAAAGGGCACGUGUGCCCUGUUGACGGUACCGUAAGAAUAAGGACCGGCUAACUCCGUGCCAGCAGCCGCGGUAAUACGGAGGGUCCGAGCGUUAUCCGGAAUUAUUGGGUUAAAGGGUCCGUAGG
Molecule: ribosomal RNA, 241 nt
Filed under: uncultured bacterium
Lineage: Bacteria
Description: partial 16S ribosomal RNA
Rfam family: Bacterial small subunit ribosomal RNA
Source: RNAcentral